UACGUAGGUGGCAAGCGUUGUCCGGAAUUAUUGGGCGUAAAGCGCGCGCAGGCGGCCUCUUAAGUCUGAUGUGAAAGCCCCCGGCUCAACCGGGGAGGGCCAUUGGAAACUGGGAGGCUUGAGUAUAGGAGAGAAGAGUGGAAUUCCACGUGUAGCGGUGAAAUGCGUAGAGAGUGUGGAGGAACACCAGUGGCGAAGGCGACUCUUUGGCCUAUAACUGACGCUGAGGCGCGAAAGCGUGGGGAGCAAACAGG
RNAcentral lists this ribosomal RNA (254 nucleotides) under uncultured bacterium. RNAcentral describes it as "partial 16S ribosomal RNA". It matches the Rfam family "Bacterial small subunit ribosomal RNA", at positions 524 to 776 of the family's 1533-position model. The record is from RNAcentral.